ACCCCGGUAUUAUUACUGUUAUGGGUUUGAAUCGAGCUUAGCCUUGUUCAUUUUUUUACACAACACCCCCGUAAAAAAUACAACACGGCCCGCUCAAGCCUGCUAGUCCCAUGCGAGUCAAACUGACAAAAGCGCCCCAAAAAGCCCCAAAAAAGCCCUCGAUGCGCUUUUUCAGGGCAA
This 180-nucleotide small RNA is filed under the name Pseudomonas extremaustralis. RNAcentral's name for it is "Pseudomonas sRNA P1". It matches the Rfam family "Pseudomonas sRNA P1". From Rfam's summary of the family: There appears to be two related copies of P1 sRNA in the P.aeruginosa PA01 genome and both copies appear to be located upstream of predicted glutamine synthetase genes. This sRNA appears to be conserved amongst several Pseudomonas species. The record is from RNAcentral. Lineage: Bacteria; Pseudomonadati; Pseudomonadota; Gammaproteobacteria; Pseudomonadales; Pseudomonadaceae.